This 1308-nucleotide long non-coding RNA is filed under the name Equus asinus (donkey). RNAcentral describes it as "lncRNA (ENSEASG00005024137.1)". Lineage: Eukaryota; Metazoa; Chordata; Mammalia; Perissodactyla; Equidae. The record is from RNAcentral.
AUAUUCUUUAAAGAUGACCCUGUGAGCCACCGCUGCACAGCCCCUCCCCGCAGAAAACCUACAGCCUUUGCAGAAUCCCCCUGGCUUUCUGGACCUGAUUCCCAUCUGGCCUGUCCCGGGAGCCCUUUCUUCCUCACUUGGUGAGACCCCUCUCUAACAAGGGGGAUUGCGUCCAGGCCGAGGUGGGGAGAGCCGCAGACCGGAACAGGGGACUAUCCUGAGCACCCCUCCCAGCAGGCACUGAGGCCCUGACGGGCUGUCCCCGCUCCAGCCCACAGUCGUGAGGGAGGUGGACACAUGAACGGACCCUGGCCUGGGGAGGAAGAGGAGGCCGGCGGCUCAGCCAGGACUGGAAAGGCCUUCCGGAUGCCAGGGUUGAGAGCAGCCCACCUGACUCAGCCCCUGUCUGCUUCACAGAGCAUCUCAGCAUUCCUGCCACGUGGUCUGUUCCUCUGCCACCUCCCAGCAAGCGCUCUAGUUUGGCAGUCCACUGUUCUUGAUGAAAUAUUUAUCACUACAUGGCAAAAUACGGUUUUGCAAGAGCUUCGAGUCCCAUAAGCCCGUGCCACCUGCCAAGAGUGUUGUGAUGAGGAGCGUAACCCAGCUCAGCCAGACACUGAACCAGUUGUUACAAAUGAAAGAUGAGUGUUUCCACUGGGCAGGGGCAAGGGGCCGUGGAAAUGUAGUUGGGGAGACUCACCUGGUUGGGAGUCAGCGGAGGAAGCCUAAGUGGACGUUGGCUGGGGAGGAGGAGGGGUGUGCCGAGGAGGGGAGCCCGCUGGAGGGACCUGGGCAAGUGGGGAGGGUGCCCAGGCCGGCGUGUGUUGUCUGGUGGAUGGGACAGCCUUGAGAAAUGUUGUGUUUAUAAAAGUUGUUCACGGAAACACGUUCCUUUACCAAUUAGCUCCCGUUGGCCAAAGCACAGUUAAUGUUCGGAAAAAGCAAAUCUCCAGAAUGUUUUCCCCUUUUCUGUAGUUUUUAUUCUCUUUUCCAUUUCCACUUGUGAUUUUUCUGAGCCCGGGGACAUUUUGGGAGGGAUAUAAAAGGAUCUAAAACCUAGACAAUAGAGCAAACGCCUUUUGUUAAGUUGCUUUACCUGCCGUGUUAUUUGGUUUCCGGCUUUUAGCUAUGACUGCUGAGGGUGGAUUACAAAAGCGCUAACUCAGAGGACCUUCUCACUUACACCAGGAGGCUCCAUCUCCCGGGAAGAGGGAGGCCAGGCCAAUUUACACGGGAACCUGGCUUGAGUCUGAGUUCUGGGGUCAGGACCCUUAUCCUGCCCCACCUGGAGGCUUGCAGGACUGGAAG